This 72-nucleotide transfer RNA is filed under the name Ornithorhynchus anatinus (platypus). It matches the Rfam family "tRNA". From Rfam's summary of the family: Transfer RNA (tRNA) molecules are approximately 80 nucleotides in length. Their secondary structure includes four short double-helical elements and three loops (D, anti-codon, and T loops). Further hydrogen bonds mediate the characteristic L-shaped molecular structure. tRNAs have two regions of fundamental functional importance: the anti-codon, which is responsible for specific mRNA codon recognition, and the 3' end, to which the tRNAs corresponding amino acid is attached (by aminoacyl-tRNA synthetases). tRNAs cope with the degeneracy of the genetic code in two manners: having more than one tRNA (with a specific anti-codon) for a particular amino acid; and 'wobble' base-pairing, i.e. permitting non-standard base-pairing at the 3rd anti-codon position. Lineage: Eukaryota; Metazoa; Chordata; Mammalia; Monotremata; Ornithorhynchidae. The record is from Rfam by way of RNAcentral.
AGCAGGGUGGCUUAGGGGAAAGAGCAUGGGCUUGGAAGUCAGAGGUCAUGGGUCCAAAUCCCAGCUCUGCCA